This is a long non-coding RNA of Pieris napi, 227 nucleotides long. RefSeq lists it as uncharacterized. The transcript has 3 exons. The record is from RefSeq and is a predicted model, not a curated record. Lineage: Eukaryota; Metazoa; Arthropoda; Insecta; Lepidoptera; Pieridae.
CGCGUCUUGGUUGGAUUAUGACAGAUUAAAAAUGGAAUGUUUUGAGCGGCACGAAGAGUUAAAAUACAUGAUGGAGAAUAAAAAUAAAUACACGGAGCCGGCGCUAGCGAGGUAAACAUUUUCUCGCUAAAAGAAAUUAAAUGACAACACUACCGCAAAAACCAAUCGACAACCAUAAUAAGUAUCGCGGAAAAGUCACGGCGUUCAUUUCGGGAGAAUUUUAUAAU